This 274-nucleotide unclassified non-coding RNA is filed under the name uncultured bacterium. Its description in RNAcentral is "partial contains 16S-23S ribosomal RNA intergenic spacer and 23S ribosomal RNA". The stretch from base 150 to 274 matches the Rfam family "Bacterial large subunit ribosomal RNA", at positions 1 to 125 of the family's 2925-position model. The record is from RNAcentral.
GUCGUACGCUGUUUGACAACGGAAGUGGUAGUGAUCGUGGGAUUUGGAUCAACACUAGUGAUUCAAUUUCGUAAUGGAAUUAAAAUCACUCGUUAGUUAGAUCGCGCGUAGCUCUGUUUUUGACGGAUCAGCGGAGUAGUGUUACUGAGAGUCAAGCGAGCGAAGGCAUGUGGGGGAUGCCUGGGCACACGGAGGCGAGGAAGGCCGUGGUAAGCUGCGAUAAGCCGGGGGGAGGAGCACACAUCCGGUGAGCCCCGGAUGGCCGAAUGGGGAA